GUCUCAGUAGCGUAGUGGUUAACGCACGUGCCCCGAACAGGUGCGAGACGCGGGUUCGAAUCCCGUGUGAGACG
RNAcentral lists this transfer RNA (74 nucleotides) under Nippostrongylus brasiliensis. It matches the Rfam family "tRNA". From Rfam's summary of the family: Transfer RNA (tRNA) molecules are approximately 80 nucleotides in length. Their secondary structure includes four short double-helical elements and three loops (D, anti-codon, and T loops). Lineage: Eukaryota; Metazoa; Nematoda; Chromadorea; Rhabditida; Heligmosomidae. The record is from Rfam by way of RNAcentral.